UACGUAGGGGGCGAGCGUUGUCCGGAAUUACUGGGCGUAAAGGGCGUCUAGGCGGUACGAUGCGUCGGGAGUGAAAGCCCCGGGCUCAACCCGGGAACGGCUUUCGAAACGGUCGUGCUUGAGGGCCGGAGAGGGAAGCGGAAUUGCCGGUGUAGCGGUGAAAUGCGUAGAGAUCGGCAGGAACACCAGUGGCGAAGGCGGCUUCCUGGACGGUACCUGACGCUGAAGCGCGAAAGCGUGGGGAGCGAACGGG
RNAcentral lists this ribosomal RNA (253 nucleotides) under uncultured organism. RNAcentral describes it as "partial 16S ribosomal RNA". It matches the Rfam family "Bacterial small subunit ribosomal RNA", at positions 524 to 776 of the family's 1533-position model. The record is from RNAcentral.